RNAcentral lists this ribosomal RNA (392 nucleotides) under Rhizosolenia sp. RNAcentral's name for it is "partial small subunit ribosomal RNA". It matches the Rfam family "Eukaryotic small subunit ribosomal RNA", at positions 582 to 975 of the family's 1831-position model. The record is from RNAcentral. Lineage: Eukaryota; Bacillariophyta; Coscinodiscophyceae; Rhizosoleniales; Rhizosoleniaceae.
AUUCCAGCUCCAAUAGUGUAUAUUAAAGUUGUUGCAGUUAAAAAGCUCGUAGUUGGAUUUCUGGCGGGAGCGAUCGGUCCUUCACUCAGUGUUGGAACCUGAUUGUCUCCUGCCAUCCAUGGAGAAAACUUAUCUGGCAUUAAGUUGUCGGGUAGGCAAUCUCCAUCUUUUACUGUGAAAAAAUUAGAGUGUUCAAAGCAGGCUUAUGCCGUUGAAUAUAUUAGCAUGGAAUAAUAAGAUAGGACUAUGGUACUAUUUUGUUGGUUUCUAGUACUGAAGUAAUGAUUGAUAGGGAUAGUUGGGGGUGCUAGUAUUGGCCGGCCAGAGGUGAAAUUCUUGGAUUCGGUCAAGACCAACUUAUGCGAAAGCAUUCACCAAGGAUGUCUUCAUCA